CAUCGAUGUGACGGUUACUACAUAGUAGGCAGGACAUCUGUAAGCUGGAACAGAAGUGACCGUUGAAGUCGAUAGAAUAGUCCAGUCCAGGACAACGUGUAAGUGGUCUUUCGUUCUUUUCCUAUCUUUUACUUGAAACAAGGCGAUUAAGAACUUUUGAGACGUAAACGAACUAUGUAAACGAGAACCUUGUUAUAUAGUUUCUUCUCUUCCAGGGUCCGUAAUCUAGAACUGUCUGUACUCGUUACCGAAUGAGUUAGGUAGUAAGGUCUAUAAACGGAUGGAUACGGAACGUGACUAUCGAGAGAACAAAGGGCACCACAGACGGCUGACCUUUCCGAGACUUGUCAAGUCGCAUUCGACACCAUGGUGGUCGUUACGGUCACUAAGACUACCAGCUUGUACCAUACCCCUGCGAUUGAUACCCAAUCUAAAAGGACCGAAAAGUCGGUUCCGUAGUAUGGUCCUGGGAAGUGAAGGAAGGGGUCAUGGAAUGUACUGACGAGCGUAGGAGUGAAGCUUAAAGUGUAUAGGAAAACCCAAACCGGGACCGGCGUACAAGGAAGCCGAGAUGAAGAUAGGUUGAAGAAUACGACUUGUAUGACGACGUCUACGGAACAAAUCACAGUGACGUCCCUAGGUAUCGGAAGAUUCACUGAAGUUAGGAAAGGUCUGACGAGUCCGGUACCCAGCGUGAAUGGAGUAGGCACUUAUGAGGAACUUACAAUGAAGUCUAGUUGAGUUACAGUGUAAAAGGGGUAGUUGUGUGGUACGACCCAGAAUACGCAAACACUUACCGUAGCUUUAACACGUGUGAGGACUGUAAAAGUGCUACGGUCACGGUUCUAAGUGCUUACCACCCUUGGGUCUAGAUAAGGGUUAAAGGAGAUCGUAUCGGGAACUUUGUUACAUGGCAGAAUUACAACCCCCAUGCUGCGAGGGACGCUCUAUACUAUUACCGAAAAUGGCGAGUACCCUUCUAGUGCCGGCGAUAUAAAGACCUAGAAGUCAACCGAACUUAAACAAGUUUUUGUCUUUACAGUGUUAGUCAAUGGGUGAAGCGUACGGCCUAAUGUAUCGUGGUUAGAUAUAGAUACUCUGUCGUCAUAGGUACCCCUCUCUACGUCCAUAGUUGUACCCCAUGUUAGAAUGUACCUAAAACGAACAGCUACGUCCCAAGAUGAUGGAAGACUCCAAGGUAAAGACACUCUAGGUCAUAGGUUAUUGGUUCCAUUUGGUCUCCUCAAAGAAGUAUAUGUAGUUGUUGGUCUGUCGUCACCUCGUCUACCUACAGUAAGAAACCUCGCCUCCUUAGCCAUAUGGUCAAAUGUGGUUGAUGCAACAACAGUGUCAACCAGUACCAGUCUGUCUAGACACCCAUCGUGAGGUGGGACUAGAGUCAUCGGCUGGUGUUAUAAUACUACGUUAAGAUUUACCGGACCUUCAUAAGUUCGAUGUCCUAUUGUCGUUAUUAUUAGAACGUCCACAGUUGGGAUGUGGGUUCGUUUUAGCACUAUCCCGUCGUAGAGUACCAGUUCUAUUUUGUUUACGAUCUUAGGGUCGCUAGUAACCACCACCUCGACGAAGACCACAGAACCGAAACAAGUAAAGGUCAAAGACGUAAAUACAAUACAUGUCCGCCUUCUUUUGAUUGAUGUGAGUACCGUUCUGGUUACCCGUAGGAGGGUUGCCUCUAUCUCUUAACGAUAACCGGUGGAGCGUGAGCUUCCUAAACUUCGAAACGGUGUUGAAGAGCAAGUUCGUUUAGGUCCUUCGGUGGUUGUUGAAGCUACUCUGGAAAGAGGAUCCGUUUCCACCCAAACCCUUACAUAUGGUGCCAGUCUAUCGACCAUCCGACUUCCACCGUUAGUUCGCACCAUUGGGAGUCGGGGUCGUCCCGUAGGUCCUUAAAGUCUUACUUUAACUCUACAACUGGUUAGAGGCCGUAGCGGUGGAACACAGGUGAUCAUCUUUUUCCCAGUUUACAUUUCGUGUAAUCACGGCCAAACAUAAACUCGGCCGUGAUUACAUAUGUAAUCACGGCCAAGGUUGCCGAUCGGCCCGGGGAAAGUAAUCAUGGCCAAGCACUGCUUGGAAAUAGUGGCCAAGCACGGUGCUUGGCCACGAUUACUCUCACCACCGUCCUACAACAGUCUUACCCCGGGGAGGUCGGAGAAAUCAUGGCCAAGAACCGUGUUUGGCCAUGAUUUCCAGUAGGAUGUAUUUGGGAAGCAGGUGGGCUCGAACGAGACAAGAAGGGGAAAGGGGAGAGGAGAGACAAGAAGGGGAGAAGGAGAGCUCGAAUAGUGUAUAAAACGGGUUUUAAACAUUCUAAACUUCCGGGGGUAGGUAAGUUUACUAGUGUUUCCACACCAAAUGAAUCACGGAAGAUUUAGAGGUAGCAUCGGUGGCAACUAGCGGGCGUGGCAGGGCAGCGGCCGUGGUGGAACACACGGUACUAAAACUAUAGGCAGGGGCAGCCGGGAUCAGGAACAAUACUAAGCCUACACCUCCAUACACUUGGCCUUUAAGGUUGGCUGGGAUAACGGCUCUCCAAUUUAAAUCAACUUUCUCUUUUGCUCAUGAACUUUCUUUUUAACUUUUCUUAACUCCCCCUCUUCUACCUUAACCUCAACGUAUAACGGCUACAGCAGCUACUAGUCUUCUAGUUCUACCUCUUUUACGCGAACUUCUAAUCUUUCUAAUCUUUUAUACGGUAGCUAUCACUCCGAACCAUAGUAAUACGACAACCUAGGUAACAAUGGAAUCAACGCUAGAACUAGCAUAAACAACAACGUAAAUUUACGAAAUCGAUCUCUCAACAAACAAACAACGUAAAUUCACAACAUACUUGAACAUAAUUAAACCAGAUAAGCCACAACACAUUACUUCUACUCGGCCGUUACCUACAUGCUACUGGCUACGAGAGGGGUCAAGCAACUCCCGCACGUAUGAAAAGACGAACGCCGAUUCCGUUUGUUCGCCCGCCUACCAAAAUACGGAACAGGUACACGAGCGACAUUCUUACCAGUGUUAAUGAGAUGCAGUUCUUGGUAAGUGCAGGUGGACAAAUUCAGGCCAAAGUACGGGGUAAUAUUACAAACCUGGUUCGUGCCUCUUUCUCCCCAAUACUACCUUCUGUUACUUCUUCUUCUCCUGCUGCUGUCGAUAGGACCGGUACCCAAGGGACUUAUGCUACUAUGUUGUUACCCGCUUCUUCGACUCGGUCAUUACGCCCUUCUUCGACUCGGCCGUUACGCCCUUCUUCGACUUCUUCUCCGUAGUCUACUCGGGCAACUAUUAGAUCCAGCCCGGUAACGGCUACGUUUCUCUUUGACACGUUCAUUAAACCUCUUCUUCUUCAACGUCGCGUACAAUCUCCUAGUGUUUUUUCAUGACAUGGGCUUAACGCAUCCACUGUUCUUUUUCAACCCGUGGUGUGACCUUAACGACGUUACCUUCUGUCUCUUACCACAUAGAUUGUUUCCUAAACCUUUCAACGACCAUUACUAUUUCCUAUACGAAGGUUUCCUGUUGCUUAACGGGCUCUCAUGCAUGCUUCGUUUCUUCCGACAGACGGGAGAUCCCAAUCUCCACGUCUUCUAUGUACGUACGGGAUUACUAACGUAGGAGAUGGCGCCACUCAUGCUCCUAAACUUGAG
Molecule: ribosomal RNA, 3662 nt
Filed under: Triticum aestivum (bread wheat)
Lineage: Eukaryota; Viridiplantae; Streptophyta; Magnoliopsida; Poales; Poaceae
Description: partial small subunit ribosomal RNA
Source: RNAcentral